Non-coding RNA from Schistosoma mansoni, 48 nucleotides. NCBI's taxonomy places the organism in Eukaryota, Metazoa, Platyhelminthes, Trematoda, Strigeidida, Schistosomatidae. The record is from Rfam.
AUCCAGCUGAUGAGUCUCAAAUAGGACGAAGCACGCGUCAAACUGGAU